RNAcentral lists this ribosomal RNA (583 nucleotides) under uncultured Clostridium sp. RNAcentral describes it as "bacterial SSU rRNA". It matches the Rfam family "Bacterial small subunit ribosomal RNA", at positions 8 to 608 of the family's 1533-position model. The record is from RNAcentral. Lineage: Bacteria; Bacillati; Bacillota; Clostridia; Eubacteriales; Clostridiaceae.
AGAGUUGUCCUGGCUCAGGACGAACGCUGGCGGCGUGCCUAACACAUGCAAGUCGAGCGAUGAAGUUUCCUUCGGGAAACGGAUUAGCGGCGGACGGGUGAGUAACACGUGGGUAACCUGCCUUAUAGUGGGGGAUAGCCUUUCGAAAGGAAGAUUAAUACCGCAUAAGAUUGUAGUAUCGCAUGAUAUAGCAAUUAAAGGAGCAAUCCGCUAUAAGAUGGACCCGCGUCGCAUUAGCUAGUUGGUGAGGUAAUGGCUCACCAAGGCGACGAUGCGUAGCCGACCUGAGAGGGUGAUCGGCCACAUUGGGACUGAGACACGGCCCAGACUCCUACGGGAGGCAGCAGUGGGGAAUAUUGCACAAUGGGCGAAAGCCUGAUGCAGCAACGCCGCGUGAGUGAUGACGGCCUUCGGGUUGUAAAACUCUGUCUUCAGGGACGAUAAUGACGGUACCUGAGGAGGAAGCCACGGCUAACUACGUGCCAGCAGCCGCGGUAAUACGUAGGUGGCAAGCGUUGUCCGGAUUUACUGGGCGUAAAGGGAGCGUAGGCGGAUGUUUAAGUGGGAUGUGAAAUACUCGGGC